CGCCCCGGCUCACAGCGGCCGCAGCCGGACUCCCCAGCGGGCGCCCCGCAGGUGUCGGACCGAGUGUGGCCCGGGGCGCAGAGGCGGCGCCACGCACCCCGGUCUGGUCGCGAAACCCAGAACUCCGCGGAGGACGCGGCGCGGGAGCGGCCGCGAGCGCAGCCGGCCCCCACUCCCGGACCAGCUCCACCAGGGUGGGGAGAAGUGCCCUGGACGGAUCCCACUGAAUCCCCCUCCACCGACACCUCUCCCCGCCUUGCCGCGACAGACUCCUUCUUUUGUGUCUCCUUAUCUCCUUCUUUCCGACCCCCUCCAUCCCAGCGCGAAGCCCCUCUCGGCGCCUGGGUCGGACGCGGCAGGAGAGCGAGAGAGCCACGCGGCCCUUCCGGCUCCCCAUCCCACCCCACCUCUGCCCCCCCUUGCUGGGCUGGGGGCCGGGAGGAUGCUGGCCCUUUAAACCUUGGCUCCCACCCAGAGCACCUUCCAGCUCUCCUCCCACCCACCCACCCACGCCCGCCUCCUCCACGGGCCACUUCCGACAGCUGGCAGCCGUGGGGGAGCCCCGGGGAGCCCUCAGGCAGGGGGCGGCGGUGAAACCCGGGAGCGGGUGAAAGGCACAGCUGUGAUCCCCACCCCUCUCUCCCAGAGGAGCGGGCGGCGGGACUGCCGGGCGCUCGGGGUGCAGGUUAAUCAUUAACCUCCGCUGCUCGGCUCCCCAGUCGCGUCCCGGAGCUGCUUUCGGCCGCGGCUUCCCAGGUAACGGG
This 764-nucleotide long non-coding RNA is filed under the name Dasypus novemcinctus (nine-banded armadillo). Its description in RNAcentral is "lncRNA (ENSDNOG00000050244.1)". Lineage: Eukaryota; Metazoa; Chordata; Mammalia; Cingulata; Dasypodidae. The record is from RNAcentral.